This 465-nucleotide ribosomal RNA is filed under the name Vreelandella stevensii. RNAcentral describes it as "partial 16S ribosomal RNA". It matches the Rfam family "Bacterial small subunit ribosomal RNA", at positions 338 to 795 of the family's 1533-position model. The record is from RNAcentral. Lineage: Bacteria; Pseudomonadati; Pseudomonadota; Gammaproteobacteria; Oceanospirillales; Halomonadaceae.
CCUACGGGUGGCUGCAGUGGGGAAUAUUGGACAAUGGGCGAAAGCCUGAUCCAGCCAUGCCGCGUGUGUGAAGAAGGCCUUCGGGUUGUAAAGCACUUUCAGUGGGGAAGAAAGCCUUGGGGCUAAUACCCUCGAGGAAGGACAUCACCCACAGAAGAAGCACCGGCUAACUCCGUGCCAGCAGCCGCGGUAAUACGGAGGGUGCGAGCGUUAAUCGGAAUUACUGGGCGUAAAGCGCGCGUAGGCGGUCUGAUAAGCCGGUUGUGAAAGCCCCGGGCUCAACCUGGGAACGGCAUCCGGAACUGUCAGGCUAGAGUGCAGGAGAGGAAGGUAGAAUUCCCGGUGUAGCGGUGAAAUGCGUAGAGAUCGGGAGGAUUACCAGUGGCGAAGGCGGUCUUCUGGACUGACACUGACGCUGAGGUGCGAAAGCGUGGGUAGCAAACAGGAUUAGAUACCCUAGUAGUC